This 467-nucleotide ribosomal RNA is filed under the name uncultured bacterium. RNAcentral describes it as "partial 16S ribosomal RNA". It matches the Rfam family "Bacterial small subunit ribosomal RNA", at positions 28 to 507 of the family's 1533-position model. The record is from RNAcentral.
GACGAACGCUGGCGGCGUGCUUAACACAUGCCAGUCGAACGGAAAGGCCUCUUUCGGGGGGUACUCGCGUGGCGAACGGGUGAGUAACACGUGAGUAACCUGCCCUUGACUUUGGGAUAACUUCAGGAAACUGGGGCUAAUACCGGAUAGGAUCUCCUGCUGCAUGGUGGGGGUUGGAAAGUUUCGGCGGUUGGGGAUGGAUUCGCGGCUUAUCAGCUUGUUGGUGGGGUAGUGGCUUACCAAGGCUUUGACGGGUAGCCGGCCUGAGAGGGUGACCGGCCACAUUGGGACUGAGAUACGGCCCAGACUCCUACGGGAGGCAGCAGGGGGGAAGAUUGCACAAUGGGUGGAAGCCUGAUGCAGCAACGCCGUGUGCGGGAUGACGGCCUUCGGGUUGGAAAACGCAUUAGCUCAUGACGAAGCUUUGUGUGACGGUAGUGGGUAAAGAAGCACCGGCUAACUACGUG